GAAAACAACAGGAAAGUCAGGGUUCCUUGUUAUAGUGCACCAUCAUUCAGAUUGGUUCCUUUGGCUCUGAGAAAACUGCCGGACAAAAUUAGGUGGAAGAAAAAUAAUAAUAAUAGAGGAAAAGCAAUAUGUCACCCGACAUUGUCGAUCGGGUGACAUAAUAAUAGGGAAAAAGAAACAGAGGAAAAGCAAUAUGUCACCCGACAUUGUCGAUCGGGUGACAUAAUAAGAAAAAAAAGAAACGUAGAAUAACAAUACGUCACCCCAACUCCGUUGAGGGUGCCAUAAUAAAAAUAAUAAGAACUGAGCAAAAACAAUAAGUCUCCAAACUUUGUUUGGGAGACUUAAUUAAAAAGGGGGAAGGAUAUUAAAAAUCGAAUAAGUAACGAAUAAGGAAUAGGGAAUAAGUAACGAAUAGGUAACGAUAGGGAAUAGGGAAUAAGUAACGAAUAGGUAACGAAUAGGUAACGAAUAGGGAAUAGGGAAUAGGUAACGAAUAGGUAACGAAUCUGGAAUAGGGAAUAGGUAACGAAUAGGGAAUAGGUAACGAAUAGGGAAUAGGGAAUAGGUAACCAA
This 576-nucleotide long non-coding RNA is filed under the name Mytilus galloprovincialis (Mediterranean mussel). The record is from RNAcentral. Lineage: Eukaryota; Metazoa; Mollusca; Bivalvia; Mytilida; Mytilidae.